Molecule: unclassified non-coding RNA, 152 nt
Filed under: uncultured fungus
Lineage: Eukaryota; Fungi
Description: partial internal transcribed spacer 2
Source: RNAcentral
CAAACCUUCAAGCCUAGCUUGGUGUUGGGUGACUGUCCCGCCUGCCGGCGCGGACUCGCCUCAAAUCCAUUGGCAGCGGACAUCGUAGCUAAUUGCGCAGCACAACGCGCCUGACGCUCCCUGUUCGGCUAUCCACGAGCAAAGUCUCACCA